GAGGAUAAAUCAAAACAGAUAGAGAGAUUGGAAAGCAAGAUCGCCACCUUGGAGUCAGAGAUCGAGUUGCUCCACAACAAUUCUGCACUAGCUAUUCAGGCCGUGGUUACUCCUGAAAUGAAUCAGACAACAAUAAUUGAGGAAUUUGACAAGGGACACCAGCUUGAAGAAGUUAAAACGGUCAAUGAGCAAGUGGUUGUUCCUCCUGUAAAGAAUCUAAGCAAACAAAAAUCCCAACAAAUCCAAGAAGACUAAAAGAGGAGAAUUACUAUCUGUGUUGUUUUUUCUACCAAAUUGGGAGAACUAUGUUAGCAGUUUCAUGAUGAAGUUGCUUGAGGAAGGUUUUGAUCUU
Zea mays is the source of this 352-nucleotide long non-coding RNA. RefSeq lists it as uncharacterized. The transcript has 4 exons. Lineage: Eukaryota; Viridiplantae; Streptophyta; Magnoliopsida; Poales; Poaceae. The record is from RefSeq and is a predicted model, not a curated record.